Molecule: non-coding RNA, 66 nt
Organism: Mus musculus (house mouse)
Lineage: Eukaryota; Metazoa; Chordata; Mammalia; Rodentia; Muridae
Source: Rfam
GGGGGAGUGGCUCAGUUGCUAGAGUCCCUGCCUGGCAAGCAGGAAGCCCUGCACCCAGCUCCUGCA